Ixodes scapularis (black-legged tick) is the source of this 297-nucleotide long non-coding RNA. RefSeq lists it as uncharacterized. The transcript has 4 exons. NCBI's taxonomy places the organism in Eukaryota, Metazoa, Arthropoda, Arachnida, Ixodida, Ixodidae. The record is from RefSeq and is a predicted model, not a curated record.
GAAACGGAAUCGGACUUCUUCAAGGCGCGGAUCCUAAAGUUGUUUGGAUCGCAGAGUGACGCGGAAACCCAGUGACAGUAAGCGGGUGCUAGUACCUCCGACGAGAUGAGGGACUGCCCGGGAGGGCUGGAGGAAGCUUGUAUGAGACAGCUGGCCCGAGCGCGAACCAGGCCAAUCAACGUGCUGGCCCGAGCCCGGCCCGGGCCCACAGUCAAAAGUCCGAGCCCAUCCCAGGCCUGGGCUUUCGGCUCAGCAAAGUCUGCGGAUCUGGUUAUGCUUCCUGUACGAGACAGAUCA